CCUAAGUGAUUUAGGAGCCUGGGUUCUUUCCUUCGGAUUUAAAAGCUUUGGAAAAACUUUGCCCGUCAUUCUCAGUUGUGCAUUCCUCGGUUUCUACUGUAGACCUCACUUCCCAAAGGCAGGAGCCCCUCUUUUUUCGUAUCUGGAACCUCAGCGAGGUUUGCAAUUGCACACCAAUUCACAUUACAGCACUCUCCUCUGUUCCAAACUUCCUCACCCCCUCCCCAUCAAUGCUCCUCCGCCUAGACCUGCACCAGUCCUAAUGUUCCAGUCCUGGGGCUCUGUGACAGAACAAACUCUCACAUGAGUGGAGAAAAAAAACCUGCGGUGGGUGGUGGUUUUCACUUGAAAAUGCGAACUAGGGUGUGGUCCUACAGACUGCAAUUACCUAUUAAUCCUCUCAUCAGAGGCGGCUAGAAAACGAAGGCACCUGGGAUUUGUACGAGCCAGACUCAGCUCAUUCUAAGGAGAGGAGAAGUUAUAUUUGGGAAGUUUAGCAUAGUGCUACAGGGGGGAAAUGGUUUCAGAGAAGAAGCAGUUAUCUUGAGGAAGAGAGACUGAGUUUAGAGCAAGUUAGGUACAGGUUGGAACCUGCCUCUCUCCAGGAAGCUUUGGAUUUGCCAGAGAGGAACAAGUUUGCCCCAGGAAAAAAUCAAAGAACCAAAUGACAACCUGCUACACAUGGGGGAGAAUGGGCAGUGUAAACCCCGACGUCAGCCAUGGAGACUGGAACCCUGCUAAAAUGGCUGGAGGGACUGAAGCAGCAACAGCUGUUACAGCAGCUCCAAACCUAGCAACAGCAACUCCAGGGAGAGCAGAAACAAAAACUGCAGCAGUUUUGGCAAGAGCAGUAGCAGCAAGGAGUUCCUGAUACAGCAAUUGAAUGUGAGAUGGACCCCUGCCCACAUUGGUUGCGUUAAAACCAGCACCUGUUGGGACUUGAAUUUGAGUUUAACCAAAAAUAAAAAUAAAAAAGGAGGAAGGUAUUUUUUUUCCUUCUCCCCCC
Molecule: long non-coding RNA, 1006 nt
Organism: Alligator sinensis (Chinese alligator)
Lineage: Eukaryota; Metazoa; Chordata; Crocodylia; Alligatoridae
Exons: 3
Source: RefSeq, a predicted model, not a curated record